GGGGAUUUAGCUCAGUGGUAGAGCGCUUGCCUAGCAAGCACAAGGCCUGGGUGCAAGGCCUGGGUUCGGUCCCCAGCUCCG
This 81-nucleotide transfer RNA is filed under the name Rattus norvegicus (Norway rat). It matches the Rfam family "tRNA". Rfam says of the family: Transfer RNA (tRNA) molecules are approximately 80 nucleotides in length. Their secondary structure includes four short double-helical elements and three loops (D, anti-codon, and T loops). Lineage: Eukaryota; Metazoa; Chordata; Mammalia; Rodentia; Muridae. The record is from Rfam by way of RNAcentral.